RNAcentral lists this Y RNA (102 nucleotides) under Prolemur simus (greater bamboo lemur). RNAcentral's name for it is "Y RNA (ENSPSMG00000025354.1)". It matches the Rfam family "Y RNA". From Rfam's summary of the family: Y RNAs are components of the Ro ribonucleoprotein particle (Ro RNP), in association with Ro60 and La proteins. The Y RNAs and Ro60 and La proteins are well conserved, but the function of the Ro RNP is not known. The record is from Rfam by way of RNAcentral. Lineage: Eukaryota; Metazoa; Chordata; Mammalia; Primates; Lemuridae.
GGCUAGUCCAAGUGUCGUUGUGUCUACAACUAAUUGAUCACAACCAGUUACAGAUUCCUUUGUUCCUUCUCCACUCCCACUGCUUCACUUGAAUAGUCUUAA